GCAUAUCAAUAAGCGGAGGAAAAGAAACCAACAGGGAUUGCCCUAGUAACGGCGAGUGAAGCGGCAACAGCUCAAAUUUGAAAUCUGGCCUCGGCCCGAGUUGUAAUUUGCAGAGGAUGCUUUUGGUGCGGUGCCUUCCGAGUUCCCUGGAACGGGACGCCACAGAGGGUGAGAGCCCCGUAUGGUCGGACACCAAUCCUGUGUAAAGCUCCUUCGACGAGUCGAGUAGUUUGGGAAUGCUGCUCUAAAUGGGAGGUAAAUCUCUUCUAAAGCUAAAUACCGGCCAGAGACCGAUAGCGCACAAGUAGAGUGAUCGAAAGAUGAAAAGCACCUUGAAAAGGGGGUUAAACAGUACGUGAAAUUGUUGAAAGGGAAGCACUUGUGACCAGACUUGGGCCGGGCGGCUCAUCAGGGGUUCUCCCCUGUGCAUUCCGCCCGGUACAGGCCAGCAUCGGUUCUUACCGGGGGAUAAGAACGGCAGGAACGUGGCUCCCUCUCGGGGGAGUGUUAUAGCCUGCCGUACGAUACCCUGGCGGGGACCGAGGUUCGCGCUUCCGCAAGGAUGCUGGCGUAAUGGUUACUAGUGACCCGUCUUGAAACACGGACCAAGGAGUCGUCCAUUAGAGCGAGCGUUUGGGUGUAAAACCCGCACGCGUAAUGAAAGUGAAAUUAGGUGAGAGCUUCGGCGCAUCAUCGACCGAUCCUGAUGUUCUCGGAUGGAUUUGAGUAAGAGUUUUAACGGACGGACCCGAAAGACAGUGAACUAUGCUUGUAUAGGGUGAAGCCAGAGGAAACUCUGGUGGAGGCUCGCAGCGGUUCUGACGUGCAAAUCGAUCGUCAAAUAUGAGCAUGGGGGCGAAAGACUAAUCGAACUGUCUAGUAGCUGGUUACCGCCGA
This 897-nucleotide ribosomal RNA is filed under the name Tubakia suttoniana. RNAcentral's name for it is "partial 28S ribosomal RNA". It matches the Rfam family "Eukaryotic large subunit ribosomal RNA", at positions 38 to 964 of the family's 3401-position model. The record is from RNAcentral. Lineage: Eukaryota; Fungi; Ascomycota; Sordariomycetes; Diaporthales; Tubakiaceae.